Molecule: long non-coding RNA, 2737 nt
Filed under: Actinidia chinensis (golden kiwifruit)
Lineage: Eukaryota; Viridiplantae; Streptophyta; Magnoliopsida; Ericales; Actinidiaceae
Description: long non-coding RNA (ACHI_LNC006881)
Source: RNAcentral
UGCAUAUUGUCAGAAAAAGAAAGAGAGAGAAGUAUAAUUUUAGAAACUACAUGGGAGGUCUCUUUAUUUGUCGGAGACAUCAGGGGAUAUUAGUGAAAUUAACCGUAAAAAACAACAGCAUAAUGUUUCAGUCUAAAAUGGCCCUACGCAAGAACGACAGAAGAGGGAAGAAACAAUGUGCAUUUUAUUUUUCCCCCCAAGAACCCAACGGAGCCACAGAAUCAUGCCUGCGUCUCUCUCUCUCUCUCUCCUCCAUUCGUAGUAUCGCUCUCAAAACUUUUGUUUCCUCCCGGAGAUGUUGGAAAGCUAGGGUUUACAGGAAUUCGAUCAGGGAAAGGAAAACCCGUCCACGAAGAUCACCUUCACGCAGACUGUUUUUUUUGGAUUUUUUGGGGUUUGAUUAAUUACUCAUCCUCACCGCUUCUGACAAGGUAAUCAAUUACUUUCUCCCACUAAGAAUUUUCCCAUGGACCUAAAGUUUCUCUCAUGUCCGAUUCUCUCUUUCUCUCUCUGUCUCUAUGUAUAUAUACACUCGCACGAUAUGCGUGCAAAUGGAUUUUUUUUUUUUAUAUAUCUAGCAGUUACUAGCACUUAUGGAGGAAUAAUUUUGGCAUUUAAAUAAUGUGAGCUGGGUUCGUUCAUACUAAACUUAACUGGGUGUUUCCUACAGAUAUAGACAAGAAAUUUCAAGUGAUACAACCUCAUUUGCCAGAAUAGAUAGAUUUUUUCUAUAGCUGUUUCAUUUGUGCUAUAAAAAGGAGUUAUUAUUGGUCUUACAAGCACCACGGUUGUUUUUGAGAAAGAGUUUGGCUGAUGAAUAAGGUGGUGUUUUAUCCUAUGUGAUGCGUGAAUUCAAGUCUCACGCUAGAACCUGUAUGUGUAUUGAGAAAGAUAGAUGCAUCCACAAAAGUGUAAACUUAUUAAUUAAAACGGAAAGAUGACAUGAUUUGUCUUCAAAUUACAAAGAGCUGGAGCAGACAAAUCGACGAUCAAAGGGAAAAAUUAUUGAAAACAACGAACUUGAGUGAGUCGUGAUCACUUGUUUUUAGCAGGGUAAGAAGCCAUUUUGUUGAUACCGCACAUGCCUUCCGGUUUCCCAGUGUUUCUUUCAUCCUUAUGUAUCCCUUUCUCCUCCCCCCAUUUGGGCCCCAUGAGUUCUUCACAAUAGUUAAUUUAAAGCCCUUGCUGAAAACCAUAUCAACGGCUGCCCACUCCAGGUCCAGCUCACUCUUCCACAGUGCCCAUCAAAUAACACCCUGCCAAAUUACAAAUCCAUAUCUUAAUUAAUUUCUACAAAGUGAGGCCAAAAUUGUGGAUACCACCGUUGGCUAUUUAUAGGUAUAUAUAUACGUGUGUGCGUGUGUGUAUGGGAGAAUUUUAGGCUUUGGUUUCAUUACCCCCCCUGUAAAACUGGAAAGCCUCUACUCAUAAGCCUCAAUGGCCACACUCAGAGGCUGUUUUCAAGUCCUUCAACAUGGCUUCCAUUCAUUGUUUCUCCCCGGUACAAAAUCAUUGAUAUCCACUAAUUGUCACUACCUUUGAUCUUCCUAUUUAUAUGGAAUGAAAAACAUCACCACAACAUAAAAUAAUAAAUGUAUAUGCUUUAACAUGAUCCGGUUGUUGGUGGUAAAAUGUGACGCAUCGUCACUUACCUCUCUCGUCACAGUGGGGGCCUUCCUCCUGAGGUAAGGGUAAUCCUCCUCCUAUGACGGCCCCCCAUUGUGCCCUAAUGAACUCGAAAGCGUAGUCAUGAGACCACCAUUGCAGCCAUGAUUAAAGUAAAAGCUUGUGUCGCAGUCCACUCAGCUCUUGUUUCUGAAGCGAAGUUAAUUUCCUGUUGCAAUGGUUGUAAUAUUUAAUGCCCUCAACAGCAGCACGGUUGAAAAUGCCCCAGCAACUCCCUGAAUAUUCACCAUUUAUAUACACACAAUUGCCAGUGAGGAACACCAAAGUCAAAAACAUAUGUAUAGUAAAUUCUAAAUUACGGGUUGUUUUUCUGGGCAUGUAUCAUUUGGCCUACUGUACUUGUAGUUAUAUAUCCCAUUGAGCUAGUAAUAAGGUAAACACAUGUUUGGGCAAUUGUCAUGUACUUACCAACAUGAAUCCAACCUUGGUUCUUUAACUGGAGUGACCCCGCCCCUUUUUUUCCUCCAGUCCACGACUUGGGGCAAUCUACACAUCUCUAUAAGUGAAUUCUUCAGGGGAAUCCCGCUUUUGGGCACCUCACCUUGAGCCCGAGUGUCAUCUUUUGACUCUUCAUGCUCAAAUCGGCAAACUCAUUCGUCCAAGCCAGUAGUUAACGAUCUUCUUAUUCCUUCAUCAUGUGCUUCUCAAUUAUCCUUGACACGCUCAAAUCUAUGCAACUUCCUCUUCAAAACUUUUGUAAUUUUUGCCAUGUUUGGGCCAUCCCCCCAUGAUUCGAAGAGUCAAUGAGUCUAUUCUAUGGAUUUCACAAGUCAACGGGUGACUAACCCACGAUGGAGCAAUUAUAGCAAGAACCAAAGAGGUCAGGAUUGACAAGGAGAAGAGAAAUAAGCACUUAGAAAUGAUGAAACCUGUCAUUUUGCGCGGGGUUGCUACACAGAAUAAAAAUUAGAGAAGAGAUGAAGAUUGAGGUAGGAAUUGUGCGGAUUUAUAUAGGCCAUUUUUCAAUGUUGCUUUCAAGUAAAGUUGUUGUAUUGUCUGUAAUAUACCGAAUCUUAAAGCUUGGUUCUUUUUGGCAGACUUUAAAUCCAAG